This 352-nucleotide transfer-messenger RNA is filed under the name Desulfosporosinus hippei. RNAcentral describes it as "Standard tmRNA". It matches the Rfam family "transfer-messenger RNA". Rfam says of the family: Bacterial tmRNA, also known as 10Sa RNA or SsrA, is named for its dual tRNA and mRNA-like properties. Its role is to liberate the mRNA from a stalled ribosome. RNAcentral also lists the same sequence under 1 other name. Lineage: Bacteria; Bacillati; Bacillota; Clostridia; Eubacteriales; Desulfitobacteriaceae. The record is from RNAcentral.
GGGGGCGUUUUUAGAUUCGCUCGGGGAAAUGGUGACAAAAGUUGCACGUCGAUAUUCCACCUGGUCUCGCUAAAUGGUGGACAAAAAUAGUUAACAAAAAUAAUUACGCUCUAGUAGCCUAAGUGCCGCUAGCAUCCUGCCUUCAAGACCUAUGAUGAGGGUCAGGGUGUCAAAUUAGUAGGACGCUCUAAUGUCAAUGCUCGUAGAUAUAGCUAAGAUCAUCAAAGCUAGCCUGAUAUGAAUCCUUGCCUUUAGGAGUCAAGAAAGGCGAACUUAAUUUAAAUGCUACACGCGUAGACGCUUUUUGUGGUAGUUCUUCCAUACAAGGGUGCAAUUCCCCUCGCCCCCACUA